GAGCAGGAGUUCGGCCAGGAGACGAAGAAGGAUGCGUUUAACCUACGGGUCAGGCGAUGUGGCCAGAACGUUUUUUCAGGGGAUCAGAUGAAAGGACCCGGCGCCGUAUGAAAAUUUCAGCGAUGAAUUCAUGCUCGUAGCGGAGCAAGUUGUGCGAGAUAAGUCGGAGGAGAUCGUUUCGCUGGGACCACACGCAGAAACCUUUAUUUUUGACGCUGAAAUCAUCGAGUUUUGAUUCGUCGUAUACCAUCGUUAUUACGAGUCGUCCCGAUAAACUGACGUUAGACCAGCAUUUAUUAGAUAAUAAUCAGAGAAGAUCGUCGGAGGAAAAUUCAACUUUCCCGCCCAAAGAAAAAUAAACGUUUCUAUAAAAUUUCAAAUUCAAACAAAAAGUGAUAUUUAUUAACUUAAUUAAUUUGUAAUAUAAAUG
RNAcentral lists this unclassified non-coding RNA (430 nucleotides) under Bombus terrestris (buff-tailed bumblebee). RNAcentral's name for it is "misc RNA ENSBTSG00005026219.1". The record is from RNAcentral. Lineage: Eukaryota; Metazoa; Arthropoda; Insecta; Hymenoptera; Apidae.